RNAcentral lists this small nuclear RNA (100 nucleotides) under Moschus moschiferus (Siberian musk deer). Its description in RNAcentral is "U2 spliceosomal RNA (ENSMMSG00000021550.1)". It matches the Rfam family "U2 spliceosomal RNA". Rfam says of the family: U2 is a small nuclear RNA (snRNA) component of the spliceosome (involved in pre-mRNA splicing). Lineage: Eukaryota; Metazoa; Chordata; Mammalia; Artiodactyla; Moschidae. The record is from Rfam by way of RNAcentral.
AUUGCUUCUCGGCCUUUUGGCUAAGAUCAAGUGUAGUAUCUGUUCUUAUCAGUUUAAUAUCUGGGUCUUCCCUCAUAGCUCAAUUGGUAAAGAAUCCGCC